CUAAAUCAAAUCGAACACCCAAAUUUGGUGGUCACUGUACAUCCUCACAUGCAUUUCAUAAAUGAUUUUAUUACCAGAUCACAUCAUUGUCCACCCCUUGACUUCUUACCAACAUGAUGGUUUAGUGCAACUCUAGGUACAUACGAUGCAGUAACAAGUUUGGCUGAAUAUGCCAACCAUCCUACAUACCGCAUGACGAAGGAUGUCAUCUCCCCACAACUUCUUGCAGAUAUAUUGGCAAUCCAUUUUUCUGCAUGUGGGGCCCGUAAAAGCAAUAGCUUGCCCGCAUCGCUCUGUAAACAAUAGAACACGUCAUUAAAAAAUGUCCAAAUUGCGAAAUGUCUUGAUGUUCAUGUGACAAUAACAGUCCACUACGGCUGACAGGAGAAUGAACACAUUUUUAGGGAUAGGGAUAUCGAUUUCGUACCAACAUGAAUGGAGUUUCCUAGUUGCACAAUCAACAAGAGGCAAAGAAGAAUAGCUUUCGACUCCAUAAGGUCACACUCAAACUUCUUACUCGCUUUUCUAUUUGGGCGUCCAGAAGUAUUUAAGAUUAUGUGUAUAUAUAUAUACUCUUGUAGCUAUAGAAUAUUUACUCCAAUCUCACUCAAAUAUGAUCAGAAAAGAUCUCGCCGUAUCUCUGAACUUAAUUCGGAAAAUUUAAUUUUAUCAUUCAGAUGGUUUACAUUUAUUGUCAUUGCAGGACCUAUGUACAUUUAUUCCGAUAUAAGUUUGGUUAUAUUAUUAAUUAAUUUUGCACCGCUAAAUGUGACCUAGUCAAAUCUAGUAUUUAAUUGCAUAUCAUGUGGACCAUAGUCAUGCUCCGGAAAUGUAGCUAUAUUAGUGAACCUUGUUAGAAUAAAUAUGAGGCGUACACUCAAUUUACCGAGAAGCAAACAAUCACGCGAGCAUGACACUAAGAUUUUUUAACGAGGCAUCAAUAUUGCUAUAUCCCCGGAGCCUGACUAUGGGCACUCCUUGCCAUGACACCGCUGAAUUAGUGCACACCCACCGCCCGGGGGCCUACACACGCCGCCGGCUCCGCAUGCGUGCCUGUCCUAUUAUGUUGGCAUAUGAUACAUCGUGUGUCUACCCCCUCAUUAUAUAGGAGGUCUAGGUUACAGGUGUACUAUAAUAAGACAUGACUUUUAUCCUGUCCGCACAUAGUCCAAAUCCAAGUCUAACUGUUACCUACCUUGUAUAAAUAUUUGACACAAUUCUAACAAACUCCACCUUAAGGAAUAUGUUGGGGAAUAAAGCAUUGAAAACAAAAAAUUAUCUUGCGGACAACCAAGAUAUAUCUAUGGUGAUGCGUAGCAAUGAGAGGGGAGAGUGUGUCUACGUACCCUUGUAGACCGUUAAGCUGAAGCAUAUAUUACACGAUUGACGUAGUCGUACUCGUCACGGUCCAAUCGCGAUCCAAUCCGAUCCAACACCAAACGGACAACACCUCUGUGUUCAGCACACGUGUGGAUCGGUGAUGUCUUCGCCUCCUUGAUCCAGCAAACGAGGGUGGAGUAGUAGAUUGGAUCACGAGCAACACGACGAUGUGGCAGCGAUGGUUGUGGUGCGGUGCCGCUAGGGCUUCGCCGAGCGUUACCGGAACGACGAACUGAGGAUUAACGGUGUCCUAGACUAGAGGGUCCCGGCCUAGACGAUUUAAUCUAUGGGACCCGCUGACGACCCGUUAAUAAAGGAGCCCUACGGAGGCUUUUAACCUGCAGUGUGAGCAUAUCGUGCUUCAUCAAGGACUUGUUGUGUACUUCAAGGAUUUCUAUUAGAUUUGACAUGUAAUCCCUAGAUGGCAACUGACCAUAUAUAACCCUAGAUACCCUUGAUGCCUAUAUAAGCUAGAGGGUUUAAUUCUCGGGACAUAUUCAUUCAUCAUCACCCCUAGGGUUUAGUCCACAACUUACGAUCUCGAGGUAGAUCAACUCUGAACUUUGAUACACCCAUAAUAUAAAAAAGACCAGGACAAACGAUUUUACCUCCUUAAAAGGGACCAAACCUGGGUUAAAGCAUCGCGCCCCUUGUCUCUUGUUACCAAUCAAUCCGACCUCACAGCUCGGCUCCCCUUACGUGAGGCCUGCCGGUUUUGAUACCGAUAUUGGUGCUUUCAUUGAGAGCUCACUCUUGGAUCACAUAUUGAUACUAGUAUUGGUUCUGGUGCCAUCUUCAUCCCUCACCAGCUCGUUGCCUUUGGCAGCUUAGUGCUCCAUGCUGAUCCGACCGGCUUCUUGCACUGUGUCGACAACUUCACACCAAACAAGGUCCUCAUGUUUGAAAUUCUUGAGUACAUCACGGAUGCCCGAGGAGAUCUAGUUAUCCCGAAACAGACCACAGAUCAGUUCAAAGAUCCCUCUGGCUCGGGAACUUUGGAACAAGUUUCCGAUCGGAUCCUCGAAUACGACCUCCCUAUGGAAGAAACCCCGGUCGUCUGAUGUAACCCUUGCCUCCUUGGAUGACACCCCAUAGCCGAGCUCCUCGACAUAAUCGUUAACGGUCUUCGAGGCAGCUUCUUCGCGUGUUGAUCUAGAGUCGGUCCGGAGUGAUCGAGAUGACAGGCUUGUGUCAAGCAUCCCGAAAAAACCGUUUCAGAUCAGCCGGCUUAUAGCAAGAUCCUUGAUGCCAAGGAUCUCUCUCAAAUAGACGAGGUACUAGAUGAAUCAAGAACCUGGUGAUCUCAUACGCUAACUACAAUCAAAUCGGAUGUAAAGCCGGAGAUGGGAAAUUUCAACCCACCCACCACCCAAUUAGUCUCCACGGUCGAGGACCUGACCAAGACGAUUGAAUUUUGCUCCGACAAAUCCAUCGAUAUGGAGGAAUGUCAGUCUCGCAAUACCGGAGGAAAUUCUCCUACGACCAUACCCCGUAUGCAGAAUUGGGUUGCAUCAUCUAUGGUCAACACUCCCAAGGAAGGUUGCAAGGAGCAGCCUAAGGAUAACUCUAAACCUCACUGCCCUAAGCGAAAACUAAAGGGGAAGAGCGGAAGAAGAAGAAACACCAACACCACUGGCGCCGCUGAUAAUAAUUCUUCCCCCAAUGCCGCUGAAAGGUAGGGUGGGAACGAUCAAGCCUCACUGCUAAGAGCUUCAUUGGGUUUAUCUCCAAAGAGGAAGGGUGAAGAAAUAUUGUAGCGAUUAGUAUUUAUGUCACUAACAACCAAGGCUAUCGAACCAAUAGGAUAAUCAUGACAAACUGUCGUCGUUAGUACCUACGCACAAAAAACCAAGAACUUGCACCCAAGACGGGAAGGGGGUUGUCAAGCCCCUUGAACUCGUUACUUGCAAGGAUUAGUUCUGACAGAUAUGAUGAUAUAAAUAUAAAAAAUAAAAAUAAAUUAUAAAAGGAAGCUAGGUAUUUCUAGGUUCUUAGUAACUAUAUUUAUGUAGACCUGGGGGCCAUAAGUUUUGCUAGAGGCUUCUCUCUCGAACAUAGCAUACGGUGGGUAAACAAAUUAAUGUUGGGAAAUCAACGUAAUAGUGCAUAGUUAUGUUAUCUUAUUCACGACAAUGAUUAUGUAUAAAGACAUCAUAUCCAUAAACAAGUAGGCCAAAACGAUCUUGCAUCUACUACUAUUACGCCACGUCGAGAGUGCUACUAUGAUUGCCUCUCUAGGUAUUAAGUUCAUGAAAAACAAAGCAAUGUUGGGAGCGCGAUGACAUGAUGUAGAUAAGGUAAGACAAGCAAUAUGUGCAGACCCCAUCGUUUUAUCCUUCAUAGCAACAUAUUAAAUAUGUGUCUUGUCCACUUCUGCACUUGGAUAUAGAGCACUGAUGACCCACAAGUAUAGGGGAUCAAUCGUAGUCCUUUCGAUAAGUAAGAGUGUCGAACCCAACGAGGAGGAGAAGGCUCUGAUAAACGGUUUUCGGCAAGGUAAUAACUGCAAGCACUGAAAGUAGCGGUAACAAGUGAUGGUGUAGUGAGGUCAAACGUAGCAAGCGAAAAGUAACAAGUAACAAGUAGUAGCAACGGUGCAGCAAGUGGCCCAAUCCCUUUUGUAGCAAGGGACAAGCCUGAACAAAGUCUUAUAAGAGGAAAAACGCUCCCAAGGACACACGGGAAUUUCUGUCAUGCUAGUUUCAUCAUGUUCAUAUGAUUCGCGUUCGUUACUUUGAUAGUUUGAUAUAUGGGUGGUCCGGCGCUUGGGUACUGCCCUUACUUGGACAAGCAUCCCACUUAUGAUUAACCCCUCUCGCAAGCAUCCGCAACUACGAAAGAAGAAUUAAGACAAUGUCUAACCAUAUCACUAAACUAGUGGAUCCAAAUCAGCCCCUUACGAAGCAACGCAUAGACUCGGGUUUAAGCUUCUGUCACUCUAGCAACCCAUCAUCUACUUACUACUCCCCAAUGCCUUCCUCGAGGCCCAAAUAUGGUCAAGUGUUAUGUAGUUGAUGUUCACAUAACACCACCAGAGGAAAAACAACAUACAACAUAUCAAAAUACCGAACGAAUAUCAAAUUCACAUGACUAUUAUCAGCAUGACUUAUCCCAUGUCCUCAGGAACAAAAUUAACUACUCACAAAGCAUAAUCAUAAUCAUGAUCAGAGGUGUAAUGAAUAGCAUCAAGGAUCUGAACAUAAACUCUUCCACCAAGUAAUCCAACUAGGAGCAACUACAAAGAGUAAUCAACACUACUAGCAACCUUACAAGUACCAAUCGGAGUCGCGAGACGGAGAUUGGUUACAAGAGAUGAACUAGGGAUUGGAGAGGAGAUGGUGCUGAUGAAGAUGUUGACGGAGAUGCCUCCCCUCCGACGAGAGGAGUGUUGGUGAUGACGAAGGCGACGAUUUCCCCCUCCGGGAGGGAAGUUUCCCCGGCAGGAUCGUCCUGCCGAAGCUCUAGAUUGGAUCUGCUCAAGUUCCACCUCGUGGCUGCGGAGAAUCCACGAAAAAGCUCCACACUGAUUUUUUUCCGGACGAAACCAUUCAUAUAGCAAAAGAGGGGGGCCUGUGGGCCACUAGGGUGCCCACAAGCCAGUGGGCCGCGGCAACUAGGCUUGUGGGCCCCUGGUUGCUCCCCUUUGACAUUUCUUUCGCCCAAUAUUUUUUAUAUAUUCCAAAAAAAAUCCACGUUGAUUUUCAGGGCAUUUGGAGUUGCGCAGAAUUGAGGACUCAGACUUGCUCCUUUUCCAGUCCAGAAUUCCAGUUGCCGGUAUUCUCCCUCUUCAAAUAGACCUUGCAAAAUAGGAGAGAAAAGGCAUAAGUAAGGUUCCACAAAGUAUAAUAACAGUCCAUAAAGCGAUAAAUAUCAACAUGAACGCAUGAUGCAAAAUGGACGUAUCAACUCCCCCAAGCUUAGACCUCGCUUGUCCUCAAGCGAAAACCAAGACCCAAAACAUGUCCACAUGUUUAGGGAUGAAGGUGUCGAUAAAACAUAAUACGGACAUGAGGGCAUCAUGAUCACACAUAGAACAACAAUACAUCAUAGAGAUUCUUAUGGGAAAGUAACAAUUCCUUCACAAAGCAAAGUAUGAAACAAAAACCUUACUGAGAAGUAGCCAACAACAGUGCAUAGUCAUUGAAGCAAUUGCAAUCUAUCAUAACAUCAGAAAGAGUCAAAUAAGAGCUUGUAAGGCAAAUCCUCAUACUCAAUCAUCUCUUUUGUUUUCCACAAUUGUUACAACUCACGUGGUACUCAUGAUAUCAAAGUUUCAGUUGGACACAGAGAAAGAUAUGGGCUUAUAAUUUUGCCUCCCAACCAUUUACCUCAAGGGUAAAGUCAACAAUAAUAAACAUAAGUACUCAGCUCCAAGUUGAUAUAUGAAUAUAGAUCUUUCCUAAGCAUAUGACGUUCACCAAGAAAAAGGCUAAAUAAGGAAUUGCUGAAGAUCACCAUGACUCUUACAAGGGCAAAAAGUAAAAGUACAAGAUAGGCCCUUCGCAGAGGGAAGCAGAGGUUGUCAUGCGCUUUUGAGGUUUGGAUGCGUGUCCUCUUAGUGCGGAGUAAUGUCACUUUAUAUUGCCUCAAGCGAUAAAGAACUUUAUUAUGCAGUCUGUCGCUUUUAUGUCUUCCUCAUCACAGGUUCGUACAAAGCUUAUUUUCUACACACUAAUAGAUCAUACAUACUAGAGAGAAAUUUUUAUUGCUUGCACCGAUGACAACUUACUUGAGGGAUCUUAUUCAAUCCAUAGGUAGGUAUGGUGGACACUCAUGGCAAAACUGGGUUGAAGGUUUAUGGAUGCACAAGUAGUAUCUCUACUUGGUGCGGGAGUUUUGGCUAAUAUGAGGUGGAAGCAAUCGUCACAUGCUAAGGGAUCUCUAAUCAUAUAACAUUGUUUGGAACCAAGCAAACACAAUUCAUUAUGUUGUCUUCCUUGUCCAACAUCUACUUCUAAGCAUGUAAUAGUUUGGUGAGUGCUCACAAUUAUAGAAAGUGUCUAAGAUGAUAUAUUUAUAUGUGAACCUCUCUUUCCUUAUUACUUCUUAUUAAUUGCAACAAUGACGGGGGUCUAUGUUGGUCUAUUCUCAACAAGUUUCAAUCAUCAUACUUGUUAUAUGUGAAGCUAACACUUUCCAUAGGAUCAUCUCAUGAUCUUUCAUGCUAUCGUUCUUUUCAUACUUUUGAUCACGGCACAAAACAAAGCCCUUGACUAAGAUACUCUUUAUUAUAUAGCUCGCAAGCUCGAAUACAUCGGGGGAGACACAAGGCAAAAGACACAAACCAAACACUAAAGACUUAUUCCACUAAGAGAAGAAAUAAAACUGAAAAGGAAAGAACUAAAACAAAGGUAAAAGCAAAAGAUAUAAAGGCGAUACGAUACCAGGGCAACUCCCCCAAGCUUGGCAAAAGACAAGGGGAUUGCCCAUACCAAUGCUUAGUUGUCUUCCUUUGGUGGUGAUGGUGGUGGACUUGUUGAAGCAGUCUUUGCCUUUGAUUCCAAGAGAGCUAUUAAUCUUUGAUUUAUACCUUUGAUAUCUGCGACAUGGUUUUCCAGCAAAACAACUUCACGAGAAAGGGAAAUAUUGCGAGCACGAGUUGUUUCACAAAACCUCAAGAGUUCAAUCAAGGAUGGAGACAACACGUGGAGGAAGGGUUGGAGAAAAUCUACUCCUUCAACGUCUUCAAUGUUGAACAUAGGUUGAACUUCCUCCCUAGCUUGGGUUUGCUCCUUAGUUUUGUCCCUGGCUUCCGUGACUUCUACUCUUUUCAGAUCAACAUCUACUUCUUCAUGAACUUGAGGGAGAUUAUUCUCCCCCAACAGAUUCCUGAGACAUCUUUGCUCUAAAUCUACGACAGACAACAUGCUCGAAACGAAAACAGAGGAAAACUGCGUGAUACAGAGAUCAAAACCCUCGGGCGUAUAUAUAAUGAUUUUUUUCGGACCAGAAGGAGUGCUCUGCAAGAAAACGGAGUCCGGGAGGCACACGAGGUGCCCACAAGCCCUGUUGCGGCGGCCAGGCGGGUAGGCCGCGACAACCAAGCUUAUGGCUGCCUCGUGCGCUCUCCAAACUAAUUUUUAUUUUUCUAAUUUUCCAAAAAUUCCAAAACGGAGAAAAUUUCCUAUUGGAAAAGUUUCGGAGUCCAAUUACUUACCGAAACAGACACCUCUUUGUUUUCAGGGUCUAAAACAGGCUGAUAAACAUCCCUUAUGUAGUCCUCUGGAGUUAUGAUAUUGAUGAUAUUGGUCUCAACAUUUAUGGGAGUACCAGAGAUGUAAUGCUUGAUUCUUUGCCCAUUUACCACUCUAGGAAAAAUACCUUCCGUGUUAUUGAUUUUGAUGGCACCAGAAUGAUAUACUUCCUCGACAACGUAGGGACCUUCCCAUUUAGAGAGAAGCUUGCCUGCGAAGAAUCUUAAACGAGAAUUGUAUAGCAGGACAUAAUCACCUACAUUGAACUCUCAUUUUUGUAUUCUUUUAUCAUGCCAUCUCUUAACCUUUUCCUUCAACAACUUAGCAUUAUCAUAUGCCUGGGCCCUCCAUUCAUCUAAUGAGCUGAUAUCAAACAACCGCUUCUCACCGACAAGUUUGAAAUCGAAGUUGAGCUCUUUGAUUGCCCAAUAAGCUUUGUGUUCCAGCUCAAGAGGUAAAUGACAGGCCUUACCGUAAACCAUUUUAUACGACGACAUGCCCAUGGGAUUCUUAUAGGCAGUCCUAUAAGCCCAUAGUGCAUCGUCAAGUUUGCUAGACCAAUUCUUUCGAGAUCUAUUGCGGUCUUUUGUAAGAUCAAUUUGAUCUCCCUAUUACUCAAUUCCACUUGACCACUAGACUGAGGAUGAUAAGGAGAUGCAAUUCUAUGGUUGACAUCAUACUUAGCGAGCAGCUUGCGGAAAACACCAUGAAUGAAGUGUGAACCGCCAUCAGUCAUCAGAUAUCUAGGGACUCCAAAUCUUGGGAAAAUGACUUCUUUAAGCAUCUUAAUAGAGGUGUGGUGAUCAACAUUUUUAGUGGGGAUAGCUUCUACCCAAUUAGUGACAUAAUCCACAGCAACUAAGAUGUGAGUGUACCCAUUGGAACUCGGGAAGGGUCCCAUAUAAUCAAAGCCCCAAACAUCAAAUGGUUCAAUGACAAGUGAAUAGUUCAUAGGUAUUUCCUGACGUUUGCUAAUGUUGCCUAUUCUUUGACAUUCGUCACAAGACAAGACAAACUUACGGUCAUCCUUGAAGAGAGUGGGCCAAUAGAAACCUGAUUGCAUUACCUUAUGAGCAGUUCUGUCUCCAGCUUGGUGCCCUUCGUAGGCUUCCGAAUGACACUUCUACAGGAUCUGUCCCUGUUCAUGUUCAGGCACACAACGUCUAAUAACACCACCUACUCCUUCCUUAUAAAGGUAAGGAUCAUCCCAAAAGUAGUGUCUCAAAUCAAAGAAGAAUUUCUUCUUUUGCAGGUAGGUGAAACUGGGUGGUAUGUAUUUGGCUACGAUAUAGUUUGCGUAAAUAGCAUACCAAGGUGCACUAUAUGAAGUGCGGAUGACAUUCAAUUGCUCAUGAGGAAAGAUGUCAUCAAUAGGUUGUGGGUCAUCAAGGACAUUCUCUAGCCUGGACAAGUUAUGUGCCACAGGGUUAUCAGCACCCUUUCGGUCAACAACGUGCAAAUCAAAUUCCUGUAGCAGGAGAACCCAUCUGAUUAGCCUAGGCUUAGCGUCCUUCUUCUCCAUAAGGUACAUAAUAGCAGCAUGAUCAGAGUGAAUAGUGACUUUGGAGUCAACUAUAUAAGAUCUGAACUUUUCACAUGCAAACACGACUGCCAAAAACUCCUUCUCCGUAGUGGCAUAAUUUCUUUGGGCACUCUCUAGAGUUUUACUAGCAUAGUGAAUGACAUUCAACUUCUUGUCAACUCUUUGUCCUAGAACAGCACCAACAGCAUAAUCACUAGCAUCGCAUAUGAUUUCAAAGGGCAAGUUGCAAUCUGGUGGUUGAACAAUAGGUGCGGUUAUCAAGGCCUUCUUAAGUAUUUCGAAAGCUUCCUCACAAUCCUCAUCAAAAAACAAAAGGAACAUCCUUCUGCAAGAGGUUGGUAAGAGGCCUAGAAAUCUUAGAGAAGUCUUUAAUGAACCUUCUAUAGAAACUAACAUGACCUAGGAAACUUCGUAUACCUCUGAUAUCUGUGGGGCAAGGCAUUUUCUCAAUUGCAUCUACCUUAGCCUUAUCAACUUCAAAGCCUUUCUCAGAGAUUUUGUGUCCUAAGAUGAUGCUUUCAUUAACCAUGAAGUGGCACUUCUCCCAGUUCAAGACAAGGUUGGUAUCUUUGCAUCUCUGUAAGACUCGAUUAAGGUUGCUGAGGCAAUCAUGAAAGGAAGAACCGUAAAUGGAGAAAUCAUCCAUGAAAACCUCAACAAUAUAUUCACAAAAGUCAGAGUAUAUAGCCAUCAUACAUCUUUAAAAGGUGGCAGGUGCAUUGCACAAGCCAAAAGGCAUACGUCUAUAAGCAAAGGUACCGAAGGGGCAGGUGAAAGUGGUUUUCUCCUGAUCAGAUUGUGCAACAGGUAUUUACGAGAAACCUGAAUAACCGUCUAGAAAGCAGAAGUGUGUGUGCUUAGAUAGCCUUUCUAGCAUUUGGUCGAUAAACGGCAAAGGAUAAUGGUCUUUGCAUAUAGGCGGGAGUUGUCGAAAUUUCCCCCAAAACUCUCCCAUUGCUCGUUGCCGCCCCCCGAGCUAGUCCUCGCCGUCGCCGCCCCCGAUCUAGUCCUCCUCAUCGUCGCUGCCGUCCCCGAGCCCGUCGCCGUUGCCCCGAGCACGUCGUCAUCGCCGCCGCCGCCCCCGAUCCAGUCCUCCUCGCCGCCGUCAACGCCCCGAGCACAUCACCGUCGCCGCCCCCGAGCCCGUCGCCGUCGCCCGGAGCCCGUCGUCGUCGCCGCCCCGAGCCCGUCGGCCCCGGUGAGGUCCUCCUCUACGCGUGCUCAACUUGUCGCCGCCGCCGCCCGUGCAUAUUGCUGUUCAUACAAAUUUCGUUUAUAUAUAGAUUAUACUAGAGAUGUAUUCAAGAUGUAUUAAGUUGAUUAUUGGUUCUAACUGAAAGAAAACCUUUUUGCCUCUUGAGAUCUAUUGCAUUAUAUAUCACUAGUAAGCAUGCCCGUGCGUUGCAACGGGGGAGGAGAAUAAUAAUAAUAUCUUUUAACGUGCAACUGUAGCAAAAUAUAAAGUAGGAUUCUUUGGUUCGACAAAAGUUCCCAAUGGUGCAGCAUCCAGACAGUGUCAUCCGGCGCCAAGGAAGCACAUGCCAAAGUCUAGAAAAAAUACAUAUCAAACGGCAUUUUUGUAGGUGAAACAGAAAAUGUUAUCUAUUCUAGUCAUGUAGCACUAAACGGAUAAUAUAAGAAAGAUACAAAUUAUCUAUUUUAAUGUAGCUCGGCAGAUCCACCGGUGUUGUUUUAUAUUUGUAUGUUGCUAGCUUUGAAAUAUUUGAGGUACCUGAGAUUUAACAAAAUCUUAAUAUAUAAAAUUUCAUUAUACUAAUAAAAAGUUGUUGGGGGGAGAUAAUGCUCAGUGAUUAUUUGCAGAAACUAUAUGGAUCAAAGAGAACAGUUGUUGGGGGAGAUAAUGGUCGGUGAUUAUUUGUCAUAUCUCAAUGACACCGAUUGUCUGGAUGGAGAGGAUGACGACUCGGAUGAUCGAACAAUGGAGGAGGAAGGACAUGAUCAUGAUGGCUCUGGUGACCGAAGGCCGGAGGAAGAAGGAUACCAUGAUCAUGGCUCCGGUGACCGAACGAAGGAGGGAGAUGUUGCAAAGUCCGGCGAGGUAUAUAUAUUAAUUAAGCCCAAAGGUAUGUACAUAUAUUAACACUUCAUUCUUUCUUCUUUUAUAGCCCUCCAGAUCGAGCCAUACUUCGGUAAAGAGGCGAGGCCCGAAGAGAAGGUUGCGCAUGGAUGAAAAGUUCACAAUCACAGCAAUCACGACCGAUGGCCUACCGAUUGAAUCCAAGCUGACGAAGGACGCAUUUUCUGCUCAGUGCGGAGCUAUUGUUAGGGACAAUAUCCCGAUCAGCGUCAAGCAAUGGAAAAAGCCUAAGGGCGACGACAUCCCUGAAGGUGAUUAUGUCACCGAUAGGCAGAAAAAUGAUCUUUGGAUCACGCCGAAAGCAAAUUUCACCCUACCGCGACAGGAAGAUCCGAAUAAGCCAGUUAUAGAGCCACUUGUCAUCGCGUGUGCUCUUAAGAAGAUGGCACAUCUAUUCGGGAAGUGGAAGAAUGAUUUGAAAUCAAUGUUUGUCGACAAAGGGAAGACUCCAGAAUUCGUCGGCCGAUUUGAGAAGAUAAGAGAUCACUGGCUCGCAUUUGUGGCCUACAAGUCAUCGGAGAAGAGUAAGAAAAUGUCAGAGACAAACAAGAACAAUGCCGCAAAGAAGCAGUAUCACCAUCACACGGGAUCACAUGGCUACCUCAAAGCCCGGUCGUUCUGGGACAAAGCUGAGAAUGACCUGAUUGCUAAAGGGGUCCAACCACAGACAUUUAACUCGCGAGAGCAUUCAAGGACUUGGUUCUUCGGGGUUGGGGGAACUUUGGCCCCUGAAACAGGGAAGUGUCGUUGGACGGAUGAGCAACUUGCAAUACCCAUGAUCAAGCAUCAGAAGUGUAUCGCCGCAACACAGCAAGGGACAUUCAUUCCAGACAGAAAGAAUGACAAGCUGACUGAGGCCCUAGGGAAUGCUGAGCAUCCUGGACGAACACGAGGCACACCAGGCUCCGUUUAGUGGAAGUUUGGGUUUCCUAAUGCAAGAGGUUACAGAAGACGGGAGAGAAAGAAGAACGCGGAGCUGAGCGACAUUCAACACAUCAAGGCAAGACUGCAAAAGCUAGAGGAACUUGAGAGCCAGUGGGCUGCCGGCCAACCAUCUCAGCGGCACGAAGCUAUCCUAGAAGGUACCCCACCAUCUCAGCGGAGAAGCAGCGUGGCUUCCACAGAGCCCGUUCAGCAUGACUUCAUGGCUCCUAGCUACCUCGUGGAUACUAUCACGGAGGCUCAACGUUGCGAGCUUAUGAUGAAAUGUCGGAACCUCACUUUCAUGGCGGUUGUCGACUCUGUUGAACCUCCUCAACCCAACGGAACUUUUCACUGCCUUCCGAUUCCACAUGGCUAUGCUGUUGUGAUGGUGGAUCAAGUAAUGGAGAAUUUUGAUCAGCUCGAGCUUGAAAACCCUACAUGUGAAGGGGAGAUUCAGCUAGUUCGUGCUGUGGGGAGUACAUGUCUAUGGCAGAAGGAGUUCAUCAAGCUUCCAAACUGGAUGCCUCUGCCUCCUCCUCCUCCUCUGACUAGUCAGGGCACUCCGCCUCCUCCCCCUCCGGCAAGUGAUCAGGGCACUCCGCCUCCUUCUCCAUCUCCUCCGACACGAGAGGGCACUUCGCCUCCUCCUUCGCCAACUCCGAUGCGUCAAAGCAGUCCGCCUCCUCCUUUGCCUCGUCGGCAACGUCCGAAGACAAACACUGCCGCUCCGGCUCGUCCGGCACGUCAGAGAAGUCCGCCUCCUUCUCUCAAGCGGAAGAGAUACGCCUCCUUCUCUCCGGCGGCUAGCAGUACAAGCAGAGGCGGAAAUUUGGUCCAUCUCUCAAGCCUCUGGAAUAUUUACCAUCUAAGAGGACCAAGGAGGAAAACGAGGAGAUAUGUCGUGCCGAAUUGAGGGCCCAUUUUGCAAAGAAAUCUCCACCUCCGAAGGAGAAGCUAGAUCCGGUGAGAGUUCAGCGCACUAUCAAUCAACUGCAGCGUCUACCAUCGCCUCCGCUGAAUUCCAACUGUGACCGCAUUCUUAAAAAGACAUAUGCACAAACGGUGCGGUCAGGAACUACUUCUAGUGAUGCAAGGUUAACAGAACGAAGAAGUGGGAAAAAAAUUCCCGAGCGCGAUAUCGUCGUCGCUAAUCAUCCGGAGAUGGUGUCCGUACCAAUCCUGAUGAUUACUUGGGGGAUGAUGUAAUAAAACAACAAUAUAAAUACGUGCAUGGGAAGCCUCUCGUCAAACCUGGUCAUCAUGCUCUAACAACGAUGAUGCACAUAUUGCACGAGUGGUACAUGAAAACCUGCAUGGAGUCUGGAAAAAAAAUCUAUGUAUGUGACAGUGAAACCAGAGCACGAAUUCAUUGGACUUUCCAUGAUUACUAUUCAAUUUGAGUAGUUAUUUCAGUUAUACAAUCAACCGGCCCUCGACAAACAACUCAAGGCUUCCUUCUUUCUGUAAGUAUUACUUCUAUAGUUAAGUCUCUAGCUCAACUCAUUCAUUGCAUGUAUAUAUAAUUAUCCUUACUAUAUAUAUUAUGCAGAUUGAAGAUCGUCGAAUUAAAAAAAGCAGGAUUUGUCAACGUUGGGUUCAUAAGCCCAGAUGCCGUAAAUGAAUUGAUGGUACGAAACUCAAUCAAAGAGACCGAGGAGAACUUGCUAAACUUGUUCCUUAUGCAUAAAAAGAAGUGGAAAUAAUCUUUCCUUACAACUUCAAGUGAGUGUUGUUGUCUUCUUUGUAAACUCGGUUCGCUUACUCUAGGUUAAUUAAGUAAUGUAAUUGAUAAGUUAUAUAUGCAUGCGCAGAGACCAUUUUAUUCUGCUAUCCAUUGAUGUUGGCAGGGCAGUAGUAAAUGUCUUAGACUCGAGACAUAAAGCCGAAGAGGAUUAUGAAGACAUUACUGCAAUGCUCAUGUAAGUUCAGUCAAUAUACCGAGACCAUAUCGGCAUGCAACUUUCGUUAAUUUUCUGAUAUCAAGUAAUCAUUUUCUUUGCCUAGCAGGAUUUGGACGAAUUUCGCCAAUAUGGUUCCCGGUCUAAACAAAUAGUUGCGAUUUACGCACCCCAAAGUAAGUAGUACUAGCUACUUCCGUGCAUCUCUAAUUGAUUUAAAUUUUCAUCAAUAUAUUAUUACCAUGCUUGCUUAUCAGUUUGAUUGACACUAGUGGGGACGGGGCCUAUAGUCCCGGCCCGUAAGGGGCUUUAGUCCCGGUUCACCAACUGGGACCAAAGGGGCGGGACUAAAGGCAUAACCUUUAGUCCCGGCCCUGUUCCAAGCCGGGACCAAAGGUGCUCCACGUGGACGCCUCGGAGCGCCCUCAGGGGCAGGCCCUUUAGUCCCGGGUCUUAACACGGACCGGGACUAAAGAGUUUCUGCAGAUUUUGUUUAUUUUAGGGUUUUAGGGUUUUAGGGUUUAGGUGUUCGGGAGAUUAACGUGAUGCCUCGUUUGGUGUUCGGGAAUUAGUUUUCAUAUAAUUCUGAAUAUACAUGUUUAUGCAUAUAUAUAUAAGAUUAACUUAUCUUACAAGCGAGCAUAUAUAUAUACAAUUAUAUGGAGAUCUAAUUAUCGGGACUAGAGCCCGUCUAUUCGAUUACAUGGACCAACAUCAGUAAUGGCCCCUAGCUACAAUAAAUCGUCCUUUGUCAUCUAUAGCUUCCGUCCUCAGAAAGGUCGCAAACUCCUCUGCAACAGCAAUCGCGCGUUGCUCUGCUAGGGACUUCUUCCUCAUGGCCGUGUACUAUAUAAGAAGAGGAGAUGAAUAUGAAUAUCAAUCAUGAUAACAAAGAAUGACGGGUAAAAAUAGAGGUGUGAAUGUUCAUUGCUUACGUCGUAUGUGUGAUCCUUGUGCUCAGAGGUAAACGUGCGAAUGGUCUCGCAAACAUAGUAUCCACAUAGAUGCGUCCCCGUGUCUGUUGGUCGCACUUUACGAGAAUAGAAUAUAUAUAAUCAAAAUAAUAAUCUAGCAUCACAAAUGUAUUGAAAAUAGAAGUAUAUCAUACUACUACUUACCUGAGCCGCUCUAAAGGUCAGCUUCUCAGGCUCGAUACCGGGAGUCACGCACUUGAACCGCUUCCAAACCCUACCCGACAAGGAUAAUGAUUUGCUAAGUUUUCAUUAAUUGAUAUAUCAGAAAAUCAUCGAAAGAGACCGAUAGAGCGCAAGAAUGAUUGAAAUUACCAUUGGAUCAUGUCCUGCAGGCUUUGGAACUGUUCCAAGGGUCUCGAUAAUGGGUCGAAGGCAUCAACUCUUCCCUUAUCAAUUUGAAUGUCCAACCGAAUCCAAUGAAAGCUGCACAUGUAUAUAUAUAUAUAUGUGUGUCAGUAACUUAUCAAUUACACUUAUAAGUGAAUGGACACAAUAGAGUAAAGACCCUCACUUGAAGUUGUAUGGAAACAGUAUGUGGUCACACAUAUUUUGAUCUGUUAGAAACCUUAGAAGGUUUUCCUCCGUCUCCUUGGGUUUAUCAGUUAGCGUUGCUAUAUGUAUUUUAUCUGGGUCAAUAAACCCAAUAUUUAGGAUGUUUCAACUUUUACAUUCCAGAAUCUUCAUUCUGCAUAAUAGAGUACAAGUUAUAUGUAGACAAUGAAUUGAAAUAACUAAACAAGUUAUAUGUAGACAACGAAUUGAAAAACUUACAGACAAUAGAAACUCAUAAGCGAUUUGUCGAUGGCGUCGGCAUUCUACAUCUGGAAGAGUUCAUCAAAGUCGAUAUGGAUUUCUUUGUGGCGGCCGUAGUACUCCCGUGGGACACUCGCCACGAUCAUCGUUCUCUCAUUCUUUGAUUCACUUAAGUACCUUGUAUGCAAGUAACUUAUAUUUGUUGGGAGAUCAUCUUUGCUGACCAAAGGUGCUCCCAUGACAAACUGUGGCUUAGGGGCUACCACAGCCUUGGGUAACCUGUCGUCUUGGGAAGCCAGAACGUCUUCACCCCAUUCAUCCGCCCACUUCUUUGCUAAUUCCAAAUCUUGCCCCUGCACCAGAGGGGAAACAUUCUCGGGUAACACCCUGAGGGGUGGGAUCGACUGUUUGGCCUGUUGUCCAAGCUGAGGAACGUCUGAUAUUUUUUUGCUUGUAGUUGAACUUGAUUUUCUCCCACUUGCACUUGCACGUGAUCUGCUCUUUUUCCCUUCCUUCUGCAAUGUGCGUGUAUAGUCAUCAGGCUUAUGGUGUAAGUCAUACUGUGAUGGAAGGGUCGUGAAGUAUUUUGCAUAUGCUAUUUGCUUCUCGGUGUAUUCCGGGCGGGGCUCGGGUUCCUUCUUUUUCAUCUGCGCAUCAUAAUGUUCCUUUGCUAUCCUGGCGUUUUCCUCGGCGGUACGAUCAUAAGGUCUGAUAGGAAGAUUAGCAUGAGGUACCUUUGGGAGGGGCGACGGUUUGCGCUUUGGGGAGCCCCGUCGCUUAGAAAUCAUCGACGGAGCAUUCUUUCUGGCACGCUUCCGCUUAGUAUCCGGAGCGGGCAGCGGCGGAGACGGACGACCCAUGUCCGGCGGCGGUGAUCGAGAUGGACUCGUGUUGUGCUGGCCGUCGUCAUGUGGAGGGCUUGGAGGUGAUGGAGGUGUAGGUGACAUGCGACAACUCGAAGGCGGUGUUGUCCUUGGGGCCGAGCCUGGAAGCUUGAUGUAGUUCUUGUCCCAUAGGAUGACUCCACCCAGUACUUCUCCGAGUGUCCUCUCAUCUUCGGAUCCAGCUAUGUCGAGCUCCAUAUCAUGAAACCCCGCCAUGAUUUCAUCCACCCCGACUUUAGCAAAGCCAGCUGGAAUCUCACGGCCAUGCCAGCGUGCAUCAGGGCCAGAAGGUAAAGCUUGUCCGACGGCCACCUUCACAUGAUGUUGACUCCUUGAUUCCAUCCACGGGGUAGCCGGGACCGCCCUCUAUCAUUCUUCGUGCAUCAUCGGGCGGGGCCUCAGAUUCAGCCACGCUGCUUUUCCGCUUAGAUGGGGCGCCGGUAAUAUCGAGUGCAGGAUCUUCCUGGCGCGCUACUCCUCUAAGCUCAUCAAUCUGCUUCUGUUGCUCGUUAAUCCUGGCAAGCAACUGGUUGAACUUGUCAUUCUCCUCAUCCUGCUGUCGCUUCUUUGCUCUCGUUCGGCUUCUGUAAGUGUCUUGGUCUCUCGCAAACCCAAGCCAACACGGGUAAGAAGGAUCGAAGCCUCGCGUUCGUCCUCCAUGUUCAUCAUUGCCGAGGACCAGUGUGAGCAAAUCUUUCUCUCUAUCUGAAGUGAACUUUCUUUUUCCCACCUUAAUUUCUUUCACUAUCCUUUUCCAAUUCUCCCUGGGUAUCCUAAGACCGUCACUGCAGAUGAGGUCCCCUAUUUCUUCGUCGUACGAACUACCAUGCGCAAGGAACCAAUUUCUUGCUCUCAAUUCCCACUCAUCACGGAGUUGUUCAGGUACGAUGCCUUUAUCUAGCAGAUCUUGCUCUUUCUUAUCCCACUUUGGGAUGGCAGUCUCAUAGCCCCCUGGCCCCAGCUUGUGGUGAUAUUUCUUCUUGUCGGCAUUUAUCUUGUUCUUUUCUGAUAAUGCCUGGGCAUCUUAUGACUCCUUGUACUCUUGAAAUGCCUUUCAGUGAUUCGCCUGCUUGGCUAGACACCACUCGAAUACUGGCACUUUCUUUAUCUUCAGAUAGUUUUUCCAUAGCUUCUUCUUCCAGCUACGAAACAGUUCGGCCAUCUUCUUUAGAGUCCACUGCUUGACUUUGGCCCUCAGUUUUUUUGCGACGUCUUCAUUCUCGCAUUCUGGCAGGUUGAAAUGUGACAUGAGAUCAUUCCGAAGAUUAUCUUUGUACCUUUCGGCGACAUAGUCACGAUCGGCUGCCCCUUUGCGCUUGUUCCACUCCCGAACGCUGAUCGGGACGUGAUCCCUAACGAGAACUCCACGUUGCUUCUUGAUUGUGUCAGCAGCAUUCUUAGGAAGCUUGGGUUUGCCCGUAGGCAAUAUCACCUCAAAGGUGUAAUGCGUCCGUGCAUCCAACUUUUUAGUCGGACCUCGUUUCGUAGCGUUGCUCGAUGUGGAGGCCUAAGAGGGAGAAACAUUCGUCAAAUGAAUGUAUAUGUAUACAAUAUAGAGCUAUCUCCAAUAUUUUUCACAUAUUAGAAGUGAUUGUCGAACUUCAUAUGUAUACCUCGCCGGACUUUAUUAUUUCUCCACCGGCUUCUCCACCGGCUUCUCCAUCAGUGGAGCUAUCACCUUCUCCGUCAUUGGACCUAUCUCCUGCCCCAUCGGCUUCAUCUUCGUGUCGGUCCACCUCCAUUCCAUAUCCGGAGGGGUUUAGAUAUGACGACGGAGAUUCAACUGGUUCAACGUCGGGGCCGUCUUUGAUUAUAUCUUCGAGAAGUUCUUCCUCUUCGAGGUUCCUGAUAUGUGGAUCCAUAGUUCUGCAAAAAACGGACAUUUGAUUAACUAAUAAACUAAUAAACUAUAUAAGAGGGGUUGGAAACUUUGAAGUGUCGUUUUAUAUAGGAGGACCUUUAGUCCCGGGUCUUGGCUAGAACCUAAACUCUAAAAUAUGUCUAACGGAUUCUCUUAACCUUUAAGGAUUUAACAAAAUGGCGACAUUCUAGAUGUGUAGAAAAUGAUCCUAUUUUUCCUGAUCUCAUCUACCCUUCUAUAUGUCACAUUGUCUAGUGUCAAAGGACCUUGUUGAACUUUGUACCAAAAAAGAAUUAUUCUAUCAGGAACUCCGUUCCAAAACAACUUUAGUCCCAGGUUGUGGCUUUUCCAAAUUGAGCAUUCAAUAAGCAAAACCAAAUCGUAAAAUAAAGUAGUAUUCAAAUUAGCAUGCAUUCAAUUAUAAGCAAAACUACAUCAUCUCUUGUGUCCGUACAUCGUCGAAUAUUAUCACUAAUACUCCUCGAAUACUAUCAUACAUAUAGCAUCACUAAUACAGCUAGAACUGUAGCGCCCGACGGGUAUCGUUGCGGGCGGUGGACACCCAAAGAGAAGGAACCAUCACUGGAUCAUAGCUCCAGUGAGAUCCCUGAAGAACCUGCCAGGUAUGGUCGAACCUGCCCUCCAACGCAACCAUGUAGCGACGGACGUGCUCAUCCUCCGUGCUGACACGGUGACGUACCACCUCCGCAGUGUCCGGAAGCUUUGGCACCGUCACUAGCCCACGCGACCGCCACCAAACAAGGAUGGGGUCAACAAUGGGUUGGCUCCUCACCAACCUACGCCCCCCGGAAGGUAGCACCUCCCAAUACCAGCCGGGCGGCGCCCAGUCCCGGACAUGGCCCCUCUGAUCAAGCAGGUGUCCUCCGCCGAGUCUACGACGAGGAUGCGGGAUAGACAUCGCAAAAUGAACUAAAAAAAUAAACUAGUUCUAUUAAUUUUCUUGCUAAAAAUAAACUAAUUGUAUAUAUAGUAAAAUAAAGUAGUUUUAUUAAAUCAACUAGUUCAACUAUAUAUUGACAAAAGUUUUAUUAAAUCAACUAGUUCAACUAUAUAUUGACAAUAACCUAUUAAUUAACACUAACUACCUAACCCUAAUAACACAAAAAUAACACAAAUAACCUAUUUAACACUAUCCUACCUAACCCUAAAUUCACCAAAUAUUCUACAAAUAACACUUAAGCAUAUACAAUAGCAAAAUUAAGCAAUAAUCUAAAAAACACUAAUUAAGCAUCUUUAUACGUAGAAAUGUCUUCUUCUUCUUCUUCUUUCUUAUUUUCUUCUCCGCUUCUUCUUCUCCUAUUUUUCUUUAACUUCUCUUCUUCUACUUCUCCUCUUCUUCUAUUUUUCCUCUUCUUCUCCUCUCCUCCUCUUCUUAUUCUCCUUUUUCAUCUUUUCUUCUCCUCCUCUUCUUAUUUUCCUUUUUCCUAAUAUUAUUUUCUUAUUUUUGUUCAUCUUUCUUCUUCUUGUAACCCUAACCUAAAUCUAAAUAUUACUAACCCUAAUAAUCUAGCACAAACCUAAUAACAAUAGGAGUUAAAUGAUAAAAAAAAUCUUCUUCUCCUCCUCUUCUUCUUCCUUUUCUUAUCCUCUUCUUCUACUCCUCCUCCUCUUCUUCUACUUCUCAUCCUCCUCUUCUUCUACUUCUCCUCCUCACCGGCACGACGGCGGCGGUGGCAUCCCCGCCGGCGGGUGCCGGCGGCUCGUCCUUCGUGUUCGGCAUGAGGAGGAGGGGGCGGGGGGCUUACCGGAGUGGGAGGGGAGGGGGUCCGGCGCCGGCGAGGAGGACGGCAGGGCGACGACGAGGAGGACGGCAAGGCGACGACGACGGCGGGCAGCCUGGCGGCGUCGAGUUCGUCCGGUGCCGCGCCGGGAAGGAGAGAACGAAAUGGGUGUUUGGAUUUGGAUUUUCGUCGGGGCCGUAUAUAUAGUAGGAUCUUUAGUCCCGGUUCGGGGCUCGAACUGGGACUAAAGACAUCCUUUAGUCCCGGGUGGAGCCACGACUCGAGACUAAAGACCCUUUUUCGGCAGACCAAAAGGCGGGAAGCACGGGCCUUUAGUCCCGGGUCGGGGCUCGAGCCGGGACUAAACACACCCUUUAGUCCCGGGUCUAGCCACGACCCGAGGCUAAAGACCCCUUUUCGGCAGGCGGCAGGCGAGGGGCUUUAGUCCCGGGUCGUGGCUCCACCCGGGACUAAAGGUGGUCUUUAGUCCCGGUUCGUGCCACGAACCGGGACUAAAGGCUUGGGCUGGCGGCAUUCCAAAGUUUAGUCCCACCUCGCUUGUCGAGAGGAGCACCACUGGUUUAUAAGCCCCGUUGUCCCAACCGUGUCGAGCUCCUCUCUAAAGCAGGCUUACGGGCUAAAACAGACUGUAAAUUUCAAAAUUGAAACUAUAUUUGAAAUUAUGGAAAAAAUUCAACCUGAAUUCAAAGUGAGUUCACUUUGAAUUUAGGUUGAAUUUUCUCAAUAAAUUCUCAUAUAGUUGACCAUCGUUUUGCUUGAUUUAACACGUCAUGCACCUUUUUUUUUCUUCUUGCGGUAGAACACAUCAUGCAUCUGCAAAUCUGAAUCCGGGCUGGAUUGACUAAAGAAUAUGCAGUUCUUAGAUUUCCUAUAGAUCUCAUCUAGACUACAGGCGGCUAAUUUUCCGAUUCUCCAUGUACCAGUUCCCUAAGUGAUACAGUUUAUUUAUCCAUGCAUGUAUUACUUUUAGAUCUAAUGGUUAUAACUUUAUUCCGCAUUCGUAGAUUGGUAAAAGAUGACAAGUUUCAUUUUUGAUUAUUCAGGGUUCUUGCUUUCUAGCAUGAAGAAAAUUAUAUCUGCCAAAUGUCAUACUGAUAAAGUGGGUGAAGUUUUUGCGCAUGGUUGUUUGUUGAUUAUGAAUACUACUGUAUCAUUUCAACCAGCUCUAUAGAGGCAAAUCAUUUGAUCUUCUAGAUAUAUCUAUAUAAGCAAUUGUAAGGUGGCUAAUUUAUGUAUAUCAACAAUUGUUCAUUUUUUUCAUAGACGAUCAACUAAACACGAUCAACACACGGACUAGAUUUCGCCAACCAUUACAGUUUAUUAUUUGUUCCUUUUAUGGCCCUGUCAUAUGUUGCCUGCCAACAGUUCCAUACUUCAUUACCAUACAAGAUUCCUUCUUCUUGAGCUGUCUUAUCUACGACACUAUCCUGAAAAAUUUGGUACAUACACUCCCUAUAGAUCUAUUAUCCAAAUCUGAAAAUGUGCAAGUCCUUUGUCACAACUUAUUACUCCCACCAUUUUAUAUAAAUCUUGUGUAUCCAGUGAUAUCUUUGUCACUAAUGCCAUCCACAUAUUCCUUUCUUCAUAUCUAGGAAUAAACAUUAUAUGCACUGGGAAUUUCACACUUUCACCGUAUACGUUGAUAACCACCAAAUUUCACCUUCAUCCAUGGCGGUGUAAAUCAAGAAAAUAAAUAUGCAUGCAGCCAUAUCAACAGCCAACAGCUCCUCCUCAACUCAUGUUGUGUUUAUUGACUUCUCACAUUUUCAGUCCACCAUUUUAUGAAAAUUAGCAGUUUCACAUUAGUUCUUUUCAUGGAUGGCAUGUGUUGAAUUCUCAAAGAAUACCUUAUUGCUUUGCAUUGGUUUUAUACUUUUAUUUGAUUUUUUCAUACUUAUUAAUACAUCGAUUUAACGAAGGUCCUGCAGCAACGCGCGGGGCAUCAUCUGGUACCAUCUAUCUCUCGAUUCCCAUGUGUCAUGGGAGGUUUCGAAGGAAGAUCAUUGUAACAUAGAUUAGCCGUCACAUACAUUUUCUACCACUCAAAUGACUAGUUGGCCGCACAGAGAAAUACAUUCUCCUUCCUCGUCUUCUCAACUCAUAAGAAAAAGACCAGAAAGAACAGUGUCAGAACAGUAAGCUUAUGAACCGCGAGGGUAUGCAAACACAAAAUCACCAAAUAUAAGAUAACAUACGUCUAAAUCAAAUUGAACACCCAAAUUUGGUGGUCACUGUACAUCCUCACAUGCAUUUCAUAAAUGAUUUUAUUACCAGAUCACAUCAUUGUCCACCCCUUGACUUCUUACCAACAUGAUGGUUUAGUGCAACUCUAGGUACAUACGAUGCAGUAACAAGUUUGGCUGAAUAUGCCGACCAUCCUACAUAACGCAUGAAGGAUGUCAUCUCCCCACAACUUCUUGCAGAUAUAUAGGCAAUCCAUUUUUGUGCAUGUGGGGCCCGUAAAAGCAAUAGCUUGCCCGCAUCGCUCUGUAAACAAUAGAACACGUCAUUAAAAAAUGUCCAAAUUGCGAAAUGUCUUGAUGUUCAUGUGACAAUAACAGUCCACUACGGCUGACAGGAGAAUGAACACAUUUUUAGGGAUAGGGAUAUCGAUUUCGUACCAACAUGAAUGGAGUUUCCUAGUUGCACAAUCAACAAGAGGCAAAGAAGAAUAGCUUUCGACUCCAUAAGGUCUCACACAAACUUCUUACUCGCUUUUCUAUUUGGGCGUCCAGAAGUAUUUAAGAUUAUG
Molecule: long non-coding RNA, 23024 nt
Filed under: Hordeum vulgare
Lineage: Eukaryota; Viridiplantae; Streptophyta; Magnoliopsida; Poales; Poaceae
Description: long non-coding RNA (HVUL_LNC008419)
Source: RNAcentral